Molecule: unclassified non-coding RNA, 378 nt
Filed under: plant metagenome
Description: partial contains 5.8S ribosomal RNA, internal transcribed spacer 2, and large subunit ribosomal RNA
Rfam family: 5.8S ribosomal RNA (bases 1-105)
Source: RNAcentral
GAAAUGCGAUAAGUAAUGUGAAUUGCAGAAUUCAGUGAAUCAUCGAAUCUUUGAACGCACCUUGCGCUCCUUGGUAUUCCUUGGAGCAUGCCUGUUUGAGUAUCAUGAAAUCUUCAAAGUAAAUCUUUUGUUAACUCAAUUGGUUUCUACUUUGGUAUUGGAGGUCUUUGCAGCUUCACACCUGCUCCUCUUUGUUCAUUAGCUGGAUCUCAGUGUUAUGCUUGGUUCCACUCGGCGUGAUAAGUUAUCUAUCGCUGAGGACACUGUAAAAGGUGGCCAAGGUAAAUUCAGAUGAACCGCUUCUAAUAGUCCAUUGACUUGGACAAUACUUUUAUGAUCUGAUCUCAAAUCAGGUAGGACUUCCCGCUGAACUUAAGC